AGGGUUUGAUCAUGGCUCAGAACGUACGCUGGCGGCACGCCUAAUACAUGCAAGUCGAACGAAGUAGCAAUACUUAGUGGCAGACGGGUGAGUAACAUGUGGGUAUCUUCCCUUUGGUGAGGAAUAACACGAGGAAACUUGUGCUAAUACCUCAUAAGUCUUUACAGAGAAAGCUUUAUGCGCCAUUGGAUGAGCCUGCACUUGAUUAGUUUGUUGGUGGGGUAAUGGCCUACCAAGACAAUGAUCAAUAGCUGAUUUGAGAGGAUGAUCAGCCACAUUGGGACUGAGACACGGCCCAAACUCCUACGGGAGGCAGCAGUAGGGAAUCUUGCACAAUGGAGGAAACUCUGAUGCAGCGAUGCCGCGUGAGUGAAGAAGGCCUUUGGGUUGUAAAGCUCUUUCGUCGGGGAAGAAAAUGACUGUACCCGAAUAAGAAGGUCCGGCUAACUUCGUGCCAGCAGCCGCGGUAAUACGAAGGGACCUAGCGUAGUUCGGAAUUACUGGGCUUAAAGAGUUCGUAGGUGGUUAAAAAAGUUGAUGGUGAAAUCCCAGAGCUUAACUCUGGAACUGCCAUCAAAACUUUUUAGCUAGAGUAUGAUAGAGGAAAGCAGAAUUUCUAGUGUAGAGGUGAAAUUCGUAGAUAUUAGAAAGAAUACCAAUUGCGAAGGCAGCUUUCUGG
This 679-nucleotide ribosomal RNA is filed under the name uncultured bacterium. Its description in RNAcentral is "bacterial SSU rRNA". It matches the Rfam family "Bacterial small subunit ribosomal RNA", at positions 8 to 732 of the family's 1533-position model. The record is from RNAcentral.